This is a small nuclear RNA of 186 nucleotides. Its record names the gene U2. It matches the Rfam family "U2 spliceosomal RNA". From Rfam's summary of the family: U2 is a small nuclear RNA (snRNA) component of the spliceosome (involved in pre-mRNA splicing). The record is from Ensembl.
GUUGUUUCUAUGGGUUUUGGCUGAAGAUCAUUAUCUGUUCAUACCAUUUAAUAUCUCGUAAAUUCUCUACCUGAGGAUGCUUUUAUUAAGUGGAAUUUUGGAACAGGGAGAUGAACUCGAGGCUCACUCUAUCCAUUCCCCAUGUCCACCAGAUGCUGCAGUUCCUCCGUGAAUGGUGUGGUUCUU